UCUUAUCGCGAGAGGUGGAGGGACUAGGCCCGAUGAAACCCGGCAACCUUCAAACAACAUAGUUUGAAAAGGUGCCAAUUCCUACAGGUCCGUAUGAUCUGAGAGAUAAGA
This 111-nucleotide non-coding RNA is filed under the name Bacillus andreraoultii. Its description in RNAcentral is "SAM riboswitch (S box leader)". It matches the Rfam family "SAM riboswitch aptamer (S box leader)". Rfam says of the family: The SAM riboswitch is found upstream of a number of genes which code for proteins involved in methionine or cysteine biosynthesis in Gram-positive bacteria. The SAM riboswitch acts at the level of transcription termination control. The predicted structure consists of a complex stem-loop region followed by a single stem loop terminator region. The record is from RNAcentral. Lineage: Bacteria; Bacillati; Bacillota; Bacilli; Caryophanales; Bacillaceae.